UUUUAUAUAGUUUAAACAAAACAUUACAUUUUCAAUGUAAAAAAAGUAAAAUAAUAUACUUAU
Molecule: transfer RNA, 63 nt
Filed under: Calameuta filiformis
Lineage: Eukaryota; Metazoa; Arthropoda; Insecta; Hymenoptera; Cephidae
Description: tRNA-Glu
Source: RNAcentral